This 229-nucleotide unclassified non-coding RNA is filed under the name uncultured fungus. RNAcentral's name for it is "sequence contains ITS1, 5.8S rRNA gene". The stretch from base 181 to 229 matches the Rfam family "5.8S ribosomal RNA", at positions 1 to 49 of the family's 154-position model. Lineage: Eukaryota; Fungi. The record is from RNAcentral.
UCUCCGUAGGUGAACCUGCGGAGGGAUCAUUACUGAGUAAGGGCUCACGCCCGACCUCCAACCCUUUGUGAACACAUCUUGUUGCUUCGGGGGCUACCCUGCCGGCACUCUGGCGCCGGGCGCCCCCGAAGGUCUCCAAACACUGCAUCUUGGCGUCGGAGUUUAAAACAAAUUAAACAAAACUUUCAACAACGGAUCUCUUGGUUCUGGCAUCGAUGAAGAACGCAGC